This 466-nucleotide ribosomal RNA is filed under the name uncultured bacterium. Its description in RNAcentral is "partial 16S ribosomal RNA". It matches the Rfam family "Bacterial small subunit ribosomal RNA", at positions 28 to 507 of the family's 1533-position model. The record is from RNAcentral.
GAUGAACGCUGGCGGCGUGCUUAACACAUGCAAGUCGAACGGAAAGGCCCCUGCUUGCAGGGGUACUCGAGUGGCGAACGGGUGAGUAACACGUGGGUGAUCUGCCCUGCACUUCGGGAUAAGCCUGGGAAACUGGGUCUAAUACCGGAUAGGACGAUGGUUUGGAUGCCAUUGUGGAAAGUUUUUUCGGUGUGGGAUGGGCUCGCGGCCUAUCAGCUUGUUGGUGGGGUAAUGGCCUACCAAGGCGUCGACGGGUAGCCGGCCUGAGAGGGUGUACGGCCACAUUGGGACUGAGAUACGGCCCAGACUCCUACGGGAGGCAGCAGUGGGGAAUAUUGCACAAUGGGCGCAAGCCUGAUGCAGCGACGCCGCGUGGGGGAUGACGGCCUUCGGGUUGUAAACUCCUUUCGCUAGGGACGAAGCGCAAGUGACGGUACCUGGAGAAGAAGCACCGGCUAACUACGUG